UGCAAGUCGAACGAAACUUCUUUUAUCACCGAGUGCUUGCACUCACCGAUAAAGAGUUGAGUGGCGAACGGGUGAGUAACACGUGGGCAACCUGCCCAAAAGAGGGGGAUAACACUUGGAAACAGGUGCUAAUACCGCAUAACCAUAGUUACCGCAUGGUAACUAUGUAAAAGGUGGCUAUGCUACCGCUUUUGGAUGGGCCCGCGGCGCAUUAGCUAGUUGGUGAGGUAAAGGCUUACCAAGGCAAUGAUGCGUAGCCGAACUGAGAGGUUGAUCGGCCACAUUGGGACUGAGACACGGCCCAAACUCCUACGGGAGGCAGCAGUAGGGAAUCUUCCACAAUGGGCGAAAGCCUGAUGGAGCAACGCCGCGUGGGUGAAGAAGGUCUUCGGAUCGUAAAACCCUGUUGUUAGAGAAGAAAGUGCGUGAGAGUAACUGUUCACGUUUCGACGGUAUCUAACCAGAAAGCCACGGCUAACUACGUGCCAGCAGCCGCGGUAAUACGUAGGUGGCAAGCGUUAUCCGGAUUUAUUGGGCGUAAAGGGAACGCAGGCGGUCUUUUAAGUCUGAUGUGAAAGCCUUCGGCUUAACCGGAGUAGUGCAUUGGAAACUGGGAGACUUGAGUGCA
RNAcentral lists this ribosomal RNA (628 nucleotides) under Ligilactobacillus animalis. RNAcentral's name for it is "bacterial SSU rRNA". It matches the Rfam family "Bacterial small subunit ribosomal RNA", at positions 56 to 650 of the family's 1533-position model. Lineage: Bacteria; Bacillati; Bacillota; Bacilli; Lactobacillales; Lactobacillaceae. The record is from RNAcentral.